This 451-nucleotide ribosomal RNA is filed under the name uncultured bacterium. RNAcentral describes it as "partial 16S ribosomal RNA". It matches the Rfam family "Bacterial small subunit ribosomal RNA", at positions 28 to 523 of the family's 1533-position model. The record is from RNAcentral.
GAUGAACGCUGGCGGCGUGCCUAAUACAUGCAAGUCGAACGAGGUCUUCGGACCUAGUGGCGAACGGGUGAGUAACACGUUGGUACCUACCCCGAAGUGGGGAAUAACUGCCCGAAAGGGUGGCUAAUACCGCAUAAUACCGCAAGGUUAAAGCAGUAAUGCGCUUCGGGAGGGGCCUGCGUCCCAUUAGCUAGUUGGUAGGGUAAUGGCCCACCAAGGCGACGAUGGGUAGCUGGAUCGAGAGGUUGACCAGCCACACUGGGACUGAGAUACGGCCCAGGCUCCUACGGGAGGCAGCAGUAAGGAAUCUUCCACAAUGGACGAAAGUCUGAUGGAGCAACGCCGCGUGCAGGAUGACGGCCUUCGGGUUGUAAACUGCUUUUAUACGGGAAGAUUAUGACGGUACCGUAUGAAUAAGGACCGGCUAACUACGUGCCAGCCGCCGCGGUAA